UGAUAGGCCGGGUAUGGAAGCACUGUGAGGUGUGGAGUUGACUGGUACUAAUACGCCGAUCACUCACACAAC
RNAcentral lists this ribosomal RNA (72 nucleotides) under Burkholderia multivorans. Its description in RNAcentral is "partial 23S ribosomal RNA". The record is from RNAcentral. Lineage: Bacteria; Pseudomonadati; Pseudomonadota; Betaproteobacteria; Burkholderiales; Burkholderiaceae.